UUUGACCUCAAAUCAGGUAGGACUACCCGCUGAACUUAAGCAUAUCAAUAAGCGGAGGAAAAGAAACCAACAGGGAUUGCCUUAGUAGCGGCGAGUGAAGCGGCAAAAGCUCAAAUUUGAAAUCUGGCUCUUUCAGAGUCCGAGUUGUAAUUUGAAGAAGGUAUCUUUGGGUCUGGCUCUUGUCUAUGUUUCUUGGAACAGAACGUCACA
RNAcentral lists this ribosomal RNA (210 nucleotides) under Candida tropicalis. RNAcentral describes it as "partial 26S ribosomal RNA". It matches the Rfam family "Eukaryotic large subunit ribosomal RNA", at positions 1 to 207 of the family's 3401-position model. The record is from RNAcentral. Lineage: Eukaryota; Fungi; Ascomycota; Pichiomycetes; Serinales; Debaryomycetaceae.